Molecule: unclassified non-coding RNA, 796 nt
Filed under: uncultured Prochlorococcus sp.
Lineage: Bacteria; Bacillati; Cyanobacteriota; Cyanophyceae; Synechococcales; Prochlorococcaceae
Description: partial 16S-23S ribosomal RNA intergenic spacer; may also contain 16S ribosomal RNA and 23S ribosomal RNA
Rfam family: Bacterial small subunit ribosomal RNA (bases 1-93)
Source: RNAcentral
UUGUGGAGGAGGACGCCGAAGGUGGGGCUGAUGACUGGGGUGAAGUCGUANCAAGGUAGCCGUACCGGAAGGUGCGGCUGGAUCACCUCCUAACAGGGAGACAACAACUGGUCAUUAUGUCUGAGUAAAAAUAUCCUUAGACAAUGAUCCUGUCACCUUAGGUCGAUCGGUACCUCAGGUUGAUUUUAUUCAGCUUUAGUUCCUAAACUUUGUCUAGGUCACAACCCAUAAGGGUACCCCUGGGCCAUUAGCUCAGGUGGUUAGAACGCACCCCUGAUAAGGGUGAGGUCCCUGGUUCAAGUCCAGGAUGGCCCAUUCGGUGUUUGGGGGUUUAGCUCAGUUGGUAGAGCGCCUGCUUUGCAAGCAGGAUGUCAGCGGUUCGAGUCCGCUAACCUCCACUGACCAACCUCCUCCAGCGACUCGUUUUAGAGGGGGCUUUGUGGAGACGUGAUUUAGAUUUGAUUCCGCUAACGGAACCUAGCUUCCUAUCAUUCCAAACCUAAUAAUUUAGGUUGAGGUUGAAAGGAUGCUGGGCUCACUGCAAUUCGGAAGAAUUACAGAAGCGUUCAGCAGAACCUUGACAACUGCAUAGUGAGUCUGGAAAGAAUAAAGCAUCUCAUAGAUAGAUUAUUCUUUGAAGACAUAAAGAAUUCAGCCUUUUUUAAAAGAGGUUGUUUGUAUUUAUUUCUUUUUAGAAUAAUAAUAAUUCUAUAGUUAAAAGCCGAUUCUCUAUAUCAUAUUUCUUAUUUAAUUUAGUAAGAAUAAAUGAUAUAGAGAUUAUUUGGUCAAGCUACAA